GACGAACCGUGCGAACGUUGUUCGGAAUCACUGGGCUUAAAGGGCGCGUAGGCGGGUCACCAAGACCGGGGUGAAAUCUUUCGGCUCAACCGGAAAAGUGACUUGGAUACUGGUGGUCUUGAGCGAGGUAGGGGCAGCUGGAACUUCCGGUGGAGCGGUGAAAUGCGUUGAUAUCGGAAGGAACUCCGGUUGCGAAAGCGAGCUGCUGGACCUUUUCUGACGCUGAGGCGCGAAAGCUAGGGGAGCAAACGGG
This 253-nucleotide ribosomal RNA is filed under the name uncultured bacterium. RNAcentral's name for it is "partial 16S ribosomal RNA". It matches the Rfam family "Bacterial small subunit ribosomal RNA", at positions 524 to 776 of the family's 1533-position model. The record is from RNAcentral.